This 497-nucleotide ribosomal RNA is filed under the name uncultured bacterium. Its description in RNAcentral is "partial 16S ribosomal RNA". It matches the Rfam family "Bacterial small subunit ribosomal RNA", at positions 28 to 507 of the family's 1533-position model. The record is from RNAcentral.
GAUGAACGCUGGCGGCGUGCCUAAUACAUGCAAGUCGAGCGAACAGACGAGGAUCUUGCUCCUCUCACGUUACCGGCGGACGGGUGAGUAACACGUAGAUAACCUACCUAUAAGGCUUGGCUAACUUCGGGAAACCGGAGCUAAUACCGGAUAAUAUAUUGAACCGCAGGGUUCAAUAGUGAAAGAGGGGUUUGCGGUCGCUUAUAGAUGGAUCCGCGCGGUAUUAGCUAGUUGGUAAGGUAACGGCUUACCAAGGCAACGAUGCGUAGCCGAGCUGAGAGGGGGAUGGCGCACACUGGGAGUGAGACGCGGUACAGACUCCGACGGGAGGCCGAGGUAGCGAAUCUUGGGCAAUGGGCGGAAGCCUGAAGGAGCAACGCCGGGUGGGUGAAGAAGGUCUUCGGAUCGUAAAACGCUGUUAUUAGGGAAGAACAAAUGUGCAAGUAACUAUGCACGUUUUGACGGUACCUAAUCAGGAAGCAACGGCUAACUACGUG